This is a long non-coding RNA of Culex quinquefasciatus (southern house mosquito), 208 nucleotides long. RefSeq lists it as uncharacterized. The transcript has 4 exons. The record is from RefSeq and is a predicted model, not a curated record. Lineage: Eukaryota; Metazoa; Arthropoda; Insecta; Diptera; Culicidae.
UUGAAGUCCGAUGAUGGUGCUCUCGGUCUUGGUCGAAAGGACAUCAACUGGCCUAAAAUAAUUGCCACGAUUGUUGAAGCAAUCCUUGGAAAAUCUAAAGAGCUCCAGAAAAUAAAACCACAAAAGCCAUCGCGAGUUCCAACGCGAAAGCCAAAGUCAAAGGCAUUUCCAGGGGCCGUUCCUCUGCUUCCUCUAUAUCAAUUGGAUC